UUUAUCGCACAAAUGUUCUCUCCCUGUGCACAAGAGCCCUACAAUGGUCCAUUGAUCUGACUAUAGAUAUGCAAUCCACACCCUUAAAUCCAAACUGAUAUUAAAACCUCCAACUAUGUCUAAGCUUUCAUGUAGUCUCUUCCUUCAAGCUUUUAGAUUACAAAUUUGUGUACCUUUCUUACACUUUAACUCAGCUAGUCAAGAACAACUUCUGUUCUUUCUCAAAGCUACUGUGUCCAAACUAGCUAUGGGGCCAACCCAGCCUAUGCAAAGGGUUCUGGUGGUUCUUUCCCCAAGAGUAAAGCACAGGGUAUGAAGCUGACCACUCAACUAGUGCUGAAAGAGAAUGGAGCUACACCUCAACUACCCCAUAAAUCUUCAUGGUAUGGUGCUUCGUAAAUACCACGGAAAACUAUACCUUUAAAAUAUAAUAUUGCAUUUGAGAAGAGCAAGAGAUGUCCAAAACAUGCUACUCUGUAUUACAAAUAAAUUUAUACUUUACUGUG
Molecule: non-coding RNA, 506 nt
Organism: Zootermopsis nevadensis
Lineage: Eukaryota; Metazoa; Arthropoda; Insecta; Blattodea; Termopsidae
Source: RefSeq, a predicted model, not a curated record